Molecule: ribosomal RNA, 984 nt
Filed under: Hypomyces sp.
Lineage: Eukaryota; Fungi; Ascomycota; Sordariomycetes; Hypocreales; Hypocreaceae
Description: partial 28S ribosomal RNA
Rfam family: Eukaryotic large subunit ribosomal RNA
Source: RNAcentral
GGGGAGCAAGAACACAGGGAUGCCCCAGUAACGGCGAGUGAAGCGGCAACAGCUCAAAUUUGAAAUCUGGCCCCUUGGGGUCCGAGUUGUAAUUUGUAGAGGAUGCUUUUGAUGAGGCGCCGCCUGAGUUCCCUGGAACGGGACGCCAUAGAGGGUGAGAGCCCCGUCUGGCUGGCCGCCGAGUCUCUGUAAAGCUCCUUCGACGAGUCGAGUAGUUUGGGAAUGCUGCUCAAAAUGGGAGGUAUAUGUCUUCUAAAGCUAAAUACCGGCCAGAGACCGAUAGCGCACAAGUAGAGUGAUCGAAAGAUGAAAAGCACUUUGAAAAGAGGGUUAAAUAGUACGUGAAAUUGUUGAAAGGGAAGCACUUGUGACCAGACUUGGGCUUGGCGAAUCAUCCGGCGUUCUCGCCGGUGCACUUUGCCUCGUCCAGGCCAGCAUCAGUUCGUCGCGGGGGACAAAGGCUUCGGGAACGUGGCUCCUCCGGGAGUGUUAUAGCCCGCUGCGUAAUACCCUGCGGUGGACUGAGGUUCGCGCAUCUGCAAGGAUGCUGGCGUAAUGGUCAUCAGUGACCCGUCUUGAAACACGGACCAAGGAGUCGUCUUCGUAUGCGAGUGUUCGGGUGUCAAACCCCUACGCGUAAUGAAAGUGAACGCAGGUGAGAGCUUCGGCGCAUCAUCGACCGAUCCUGAUGUUCUCGGAUGGAUUUGAGUAAGAGCAUACGGGGCCGGACCCGAAAGAAGGUGAACUAUGCCUGUAUAGGGUGAAGCCAGAGGAAACUCUGGUGGAGGCUCGCAGCGGUUCUGACGUGCAAAUCGAUCGUCAAAUAUGGGCAUGGGGGCGAAAGACUAAUCGAACCUUCUAGUAGCUGGUUUCCGCCGAAGUUUCCCUCAGGAUAGCAGUGUUGAUCUCAGUUUUAUGAGGUAAAGCGAAUGAUUAGGGACCCGGGGGCGCUAUUUAGCCUUCAUCCAUUCUCAAACUUUAAAU